This 260-nucleotide ribosomal RNA is filed under the name uncultured archaeon. RNAcentral describes it as "partial 16S ribosomal RNA". It matches the Rfam family "Archaeal small subunit ribosomal RNA", at positions 748 to 1009 of the family's 1478-position model. The record is from RNAcentral.
CAGCCGUAAACUAUGCGCGUUAGGUGUACUGGUGACCACGAGUCACCGGGGUGCCGAAGGGAAACCGUGAAACGUGCCGCCUGGGAAGUACGGUCGCAAGGCUGAAACUUAAAGGAAUUGGCGGGGGAGCACCGCAACGGGAGGAGCGUGCGGUUUAAUUGGACUCAACGCCGGAAACUCACCGGGGGCGACAGCAAUAUGUAGGUCAAGCUAAAGACUUUACCAGAAUCGCUGAGAGGAGGUGCAUGGCGUAGUCGUGU